CCCAGGGCAAGGAGGGUGCUCCCAGCAGGCCCUGUGGUACCUACAGAAAAGGGGAACCCCAUUCGCGGUUCUCAGGGUGGGCCCUGCUUCUCUCACAAGCAGCCUUCUAGGAGAGGGAACCCCCAGGAAGAACAGACACGCAGCCUGACGACUCUGGAAAUGACCUUGACAAGGUGCAGGUCGGCCUUGGGACACCACGGCCGCUCUAGUCAGUAAAAGCUGUAACAGAAGCACCCGGGGCUACAGCUUGAAGAGAGCCAAACAGGUAAGCCUCUGGGCCUCAGUUUCCUCAUCUAUUCAAUGGGACCAACAAAGAACCCCAGCUUCAUGGAAGGGACAUACGGACUCUCGGGGAGACCAAUUCUCCAGAGCACGCUGUCAUCGACCCCCUCAGUGAUACGGUCACAGGCUGCCGGGCAGAAUGGAGAAGAAAAAAAUUCUGAAAUUAAAUGGGUUCAUCGUGAUUGCCUGAGUGCGCGCACACCACACAUGGUACACGUGUGGAAGUCACUUUGGCAGAGUUGGCGCUCUCCUCCUCCUCCUUCUGCCUGGGUUCGGAGAAUUGAACACUGGCAUUGGCGAGACCCUUUCCCUGCUGGGAAGAGGUGCAAAGGUGACAGAGCCAGGCCCGUGGGUGGCUGGCACAGAGAGGGCCUUGCCAGCUAAGUCAAGUGUCCCUCUUAGGAACUGUUCCUCCUGCUGGGCUGACUCCUGGGGGAGGGGGUGAUUCUUUAUAAACAAAAGCCAGCCAAGAACACUGAUCCCCAAGAGUAGAGAGCUGCUCCACUUCAUUAAGGACACCCCCCCCCCCCCAGCCCCACUUAUCUCUGCAGGGUCUGAAUCACCAGGGUGGAAAGUUUUCAACCUCCCCUCCUCCACACCCGCAUUCUUGUGUUAGGAUGUCAUGGGGGAGGAGCUCCUGGGCCCACUCAUCCUGACCAGCCCCCUCCUCUCUUCCCCCUCCCCAAGCACCCAUGG
This is a long non-coding RNA of Arvicola amphibius (Eurasian water vole), 978 nucleotides long. RefSeq lists it as uncharacterized. The transcript is spliced from 3 exons. The record is from RefSeq and is a predicted model, not a curated record. Lineage: Eukaryota; Metazoa; Chordata; Mammalia; Rodentia; Cricetidae.